Molecule: non-coding RNA, 73 nt
Organism: Eufriesea mexicana
Lineage: Eukaryota; Metazoa; Arthropoda; Insecta; Hymenoptera; Apidae
Source: the annotation of a RefSeq genome assembly
GUUUCCGUAGUGUAGUGGUUAUCACGUUUGCAUCACACGCACAAGGUCCCCGGUUCGAUCCCGGGCGGAAACA